This is a long non-coding RNA of Carassius auratus (goldfish), 724 nucleotides long. RefSeq lists it as uncharacterized. The record is from RefSeq and is a predicted model, not a curated record. The transcript has 3 exons. NCBI's taxonomy places the organism in Eukaryota, Metazoa, Chordata, Actinopteri, Cypriniformes, Cyprinidae.
UAUGAUCUGAUACUGUGGAAGACUGAAGGUAAUAUUGUGGCUGAAGUCAAUAAAAGUACCAAUCCUAGUGGCAGACUACGUCUUAAACAAGAAACUGGAGAUCUCACUAUUUGUGACUCCAGAACCUCAGACUCUGGAGAUUAUCAUCUACACAUGAGCAACAGUGCAUAUACCUUAGAGAGGACCAUCAAAGUUUUUGUCAAGACUUCACCUCAGUCAGGUGCUCCUUCAGGGAUAUAUGGUGCUGGUGUUGGUCUGGUAGUUUGGGUUGUAACUGUGUUUUUUGCUGAAAGAUUUGUUGACAACAAAAUCAAAGGUGUUUCAGUGAAAAUAAAGUGAAUCACUCUCAGGAUCAGCAUGGAAAAAUGAAGAGAAACAACAGUUCAUAAUCACUGUAAAAAGAUAAACUUGGGCUUUGCCUGACAUGUUGUUUGUUUUAUGGAUAUAUUUUGACAUAAAUCUUGAUUUUUUGGUCUCAUGCUUGACUACCAGAACAAAAGGGGAAACUGUAAACACCAUAGCCUGAAAUUUUCAAAUCACAAAACCAUUCAUGACUUUUUCCAGUUAAAAAUAUAAAAUAAAUCAACAUGUGCCAAAAUAUUUCACUUGUUAACCAGCAGGGUUUGGCUGCUUGAAAUUGGUGUUUUAGUGUUUUUGGGAUGCCGUUCAUAUGAAAGUUUAUGUUCAUCUGGUGCUUAUACAGAUCUAUGUACAAAAACACAAU